RNAcentral lists this long non-coding RNA (1315 nucleotides) under Salvia miltiorrhiza (redroot sage). RNAcentral's name for it is "long non-coding RNA (SMIL_LNC006217)". Lineage: Eukaryota; Viridiplantae; Streptophyta; Magnoliopsida; Lamiales; Lamiaceae. The record is from RNAcentral.
CAUGUAACUACAACUAUUUGUUGUAACCCAAUUCAAAAGAAGACACCAUGGAUUUGUAGAUCUCGAAAAUAAGCCUGUUCUCGAACUCUGUAUUGGAAUAGGUGGCGGGAGCACCUCUGGCUUUGGGCAUCCUCUUCGACCCAAAAACAUUGGCGGUGUUCGAAGAUCCAGAAUUCUCAGCUACCCUCAGCAUCAUGUUCAUGUACGCGUUCUUCAAUUUGCUCCACAGCCUCAGCGGCGACGCCGCCCUAAUCAGCCGCAGCUUCGGCGCCAGCCGCACCCGCCACGAACGCUUCGUCGCUCCUCCCAAUCUCGCCACUUGCAUUUUGCUUCUGUUUUUGGGCGACAGCCUGUUGUAGCCUCUCCUCCUCCUCAUACUCGACGCAAAUUGGAUAAUUUCCAUUGCUCAAUUAAAUGUGUGUGCUGCUACAGAUCUAGAGAGAGAAAGAGGAAGAGAGGUAUAUAGGUUAUCGUAUUGAAUUGAGUGUGAGAGAUUUUGAGUUUAUAAUGGCGCGGAAGAUUAUUCGGGUCAAUAAAGACGGGUGGCUGGAAACUAAUUUUAAAUGCGAAUAAUUAAUACUCUAUCAUGUGGAUUGCAAGGAACUAUCAUAAAUUGAUUAAUCAUCUCCAAUUUCUUGGUUACUAUUUAAUUUUGGUCAGAAAUUAAUGAUAUCCUCGAGUUUGAUGUUGGAGUGCUACUAAUAUAAAUAGUAUCUUUUCAAUAUUGGUCAGAAAUGAUAUCCUCGAGUUUGAUGUUGGAGUGCUACUAAAAUAAAUAGUAUCUUUUCAAUAUUCAACGAGUUUAAUCCGAGGAAUAAGAAGAAUAUAUUUAUAUUAUUUGGCUACUGAAUAUUAUCACAAAUAUACAAUAAACUGGGGGAGUUUGCGCAUCCAGCGCAGUCACAUAAAUGCAGUCAAAUUAUCAUGCUCAUACUUUCUUGUUUCACAUUUUUNUCUCGAAAAUAAGCCUGUUCUCGAACUCUGUAUUGGAAUAGGUGGCGGGAGCACCUCUGGCUUUGGGCAUCCCUUCGACCCAAAACAUUGGCGGUGUUCGAAGAUCCAGAAUUCUCAGCUACCCUCAGCAUCAUGUUCAUGUACGCGUUCUUCAAUUUGCUCCACAGCCUCAGCGGCGACGCCGCCCUAACUCAGCCGCACGCUUCGGCGCCAGCCGCACCGCCACGAACGCUCGUCGCUCCUCCCAAUCUCGCCACUUGCAUUUUGCUUCGUUUUUGGGCGACAGCCUGUUGUAGCCUCUCCUCCUCCUCAUACUCGACGCAAAUUGGAUAAUUUCCAUUGCUCAAUUAAAUGUGUGUGC